Molecule: long non-coding RNA, 443 nt
Filed under: Malus domestica (apple)
Lineage: Eukaryota; Viridiplantae; Streptophyta; Magnoliopsida; Rosales; Rosaceae
Description: long non-coding RNA (MDOM_LNC001938)
Source: RNAcentral
CGGGGAGCAGUGUGUCUCUUCGAUUUUUGAGAAAGUAAUCAUGUUGGGAGUCUGGCUCUCGAGAUUCGGAGGGCGGUGCCUCUUCGAUUUUGGAGCAAGCAAUCUUGUUGGGAGUGUUUUCUCGAAUGUGAGUAAAGGUUUGGCAUGUUUGCUAGUCUACCUUGCCACGAAGCACAGAGGUUGACACACAGGGACUUUCCAAUUAUCCAGCAAUGGUACUGUUCCUUUACCUUCUCUUCGAUUUUUAAGAAAGUAGUCAUGUUGGGAGUCUGGCUCUCGAGAUUUGGAGGACGGUGCCUCUUCGAUUUUGGAGCAAUCAAUCUUAUUGGGAGUGUUUUCUCGAAUGUGAGUAAAGGUUGGGCAUGUUUGCUAGUCUACCUUGCCACAAAGCACAGAGGUUGACACACAGGGACUUUCCAAUUAUCCAGCAGUGGUACUGUUCC